AUUUUUUGAUCACACGCACAAAUUUUUUCACUCUUAAAUAUAAACCUUUAUUGUGGAAAUCAAAAAGCAAAAUUAUGGAAUUUAGAGUGAAUUUAGAGCGCUCAAAUUUGUUAAAUAAUUAAACAAAAUUUUUUUGUUUUUUUCUUAGAAGUUCAUUGAGAGGUCUGGAUUCUAAUUCAUGCUCAACACCACGCGGAUUUCUUCAGAAGGGCAGAUGAGAAGAGAAGUUGCUGAAAAAUGUCGCUGAAAUUAAUCAUCUUUGCAGUUUCUUUUAUUUUCAUUCAAGGAAAGUUAGAGAGAAAUUUCUAAAUAUAUUUAAAUUCUUAAAAAUCCACGCUUUGUUGGAAUUGCAUAGUGGAAAUAUAUAUGAAGUGAAAAAUUUAAGAAUGGGUUUUUUAAAGAAAUGACUACAGAAAGAAUAAAAAGUUAUACAUUACAAAAUUUUGGUUUUGCAGUAACAAUGUUUUUAUGCAACAAAUAUUAUUAUUGCUUUCUGGCAUUUACCUUUAAAAAAUAAAAUAGUUUGAUUAACAAGACUUCACACCAAAAUUCCAAAAAUUGCAUUCUUUGUUGGAAUUAUAAAGUGGAAAUUUAUAUGGAGUGAUAACUUUAAAAAAUAAAGUUUUCUAAAGCAAUGACUACAGAAGGAAUUAAAAAAUCUACGUUACAAAAUUGUAGCUUUGCAGUAACAAUGUUUUAAUGCAUCAAAUAUUUUUAUUGCUUUCUCGCAUUUACCAUCAAGAAAUGAAAUAGUUUGGUUGAAAAGACUUGACACCAACGUGGUUUAUUUUUUAACUUGCCUUUCUUUUUUUGUACAGAAACUUAAACUCAAAUAGACCGGGAAUGAGUUAAUUAAUUAUUCUUCGAUGUACAAUAUAACAAAACUCAUGCCGUGAUAUUUUUCGAGUAGUCUCUCCGAGCCUCAAUAAUAACAGCUUGUGUAACAACCAAGGCAUCUGAAACAGGUGCAUUUUGCUCAAAAAAACCCUUUCGCAUUUGGAAAACGAUUGAAUAGAUGUACAUUUUUUUCCAGGCACAUUGUUACACUAACGGCAGCUCAAGCUAUGUCUGCGUAGAUGACAAUUGGUGGGAAAAACAAAACGAUGGUGUCAAAUCUGGUCUUGGGUUAGAUGUCUUUGUUGUGAUUAUCCUACCAUGUAUACUGUGCUGCUACUGUUGUUGUUGUAGUAAUACAGAACACACAACAAUUGUCAUGACGGGACAACCUAGUGCAGCUCCAAUGGCCAUGGUUGUCAACAAUACCAACGUGAUGCAACAACAGACGAGCAUACCGUAUGAAAGACAAGUGAAUUAUCCGAUGUGAAGAUGGUUUUAGAUUUUAUACUUGUAUUAGAAUUUUGUAGAUCAUCGGUUCGAUACAUUUUGUAAUUAUUCUUCUAUUUUUUUUAAAAAAGAAUGAUUGUUGUAGCGA
Long non-coding RNA from Hydractinia symbiolongicarpus, 1432 nucleotides. RefSeq lists it as uncharacterized. Lineage: Eukaryota; Metazoa; Cnidaria; Hydrozoa; Anthoathecata; Hydractiniidae. The transcript is spliced from 2 exons. The record is from RefSeq and is a predicted model, not a curated record.